CCGAUUAGCUUAAGCCUAAAAAAGGUCCAAGAAAUAAUGGAUGUGCAAAAGCCUAUGGACAAGGAUUGUUUCAAUAUGGGUGUGAGGAUGUUCGCUUGUGACGAGAUCAACCUGUUAAUGGACGAACAAUAUCACUACAUGGACCUACAGUUCUGGUUGUUGUGUGACUUUGGACGACAUCCGAAAUAUCGAAGGAAGCUUGAUGUCCAUUUGUUGGCAAAAAAGUUUGAUACGUGGCCUGGGAUGGAGUAUAAUAUUUCACAGUGCAAGUUGAUUCUAUUGCCAACAUGUCAGCACGGACAUUUUAUACUAUUUGCAUUCGACAUAGUGGCUAGAAGUGUAUCGAUAUUAGACCCACUGCCUAUACCGGAUUGGUUUAAA
Long non-coding RNA from Phragmites australis (common reed), 381 nucleotides. RefSeq lists it as uncharacterized. The record is from RefSeq and is a predicted model, not a curated record. The transcript has 3 exons. NCBI's taxonomy places the organism in Eukaryota, Viridiplantae, Streptophyta, Magnoliopsida, Poales, Poaceae.